RNAcentral lists this ribosomal RNA (708 nucleotides) under Enterobacter ludwigii. RNAcentral's name for it is "bacterial SSU rRNA". It matches the Rfam family "Bacterial small subunit ribosomal RNA", at positions 56 to 756 of the family's 1533-position model. Lineage: Bacteria; Pseudomonadati; Pseudomonadota; Gammaproteobacteria; Enterobacterales; Enterobacteriaceae. The record is from RNAcentral.
UGCAGUCGAACGGUAGCACAGAGAGCUUGCUCUCGGGUGACGAGUGGCGGACGGGUGAGUAAUGUCUGGGAAACUGCCUGAUGGAGGGGGAUAACUACUGGAAACGGUAGCUAAUACCGCAUAACGUCGCAAGACCAAAGAGGGGGACCUUCGGGCCUCUUGCCAUCAGAUGUGCCCAGAUGGGAUUAGCUAGUAGGUGGGGUAACGGCUCACCUAGGCGACGAUCCCUAGCUGGUCUGAGAGGAUGACCAGCCACACUGGAACUGAGACACGGUCCAGACUCCUACGGGAGGCAGCAGUGGGGAAUAUUGCACAAUGGGCGCAAGCCUGAUGCAGCCAUGCCGCGUGUAUGAAGAAGGCCUUCGGGUUGUAAAGUACUUUCAGCGGGGAGGAAGGUGUUGUGGUUAAUAACCGCAGCAAUUGACGUUACCCGCAGAAGAAGCACCGGCUAACUCCGUGCCAGCAGCCGCGGUAAUACGGAGGGUGCAAGCGUUAAUCGGAAUUACUGGGCGUAAAGCGCACGCAGGCGGUCUGUCAAGUCGGAUGUGAAAUCCCCGGGCUCAACCUGGGAACUGCAUUCGAAACUGGCAGGCUAGAGUCUUGUAGAGGGGGGUAGAAUUCCAGGUGUAGCGGUGAAAUGCGUAGAGAUCUGGAGGAAUACCGGUGGCGAAGGCGGCCCCCUGGACAAAGACUGACGCUCAGGUGCGA